RNAcentral lists this RNase P RNA (421 nucleotides) under Sagittula marina. RNAcentral describes it as "alpha proteobacterium F028-2 Bacterial RNase P class A". It matches the Rfam family "Bacterial RNase P class A". Rfam says of the family: Ribonuclease P (RNase P) is a ubiquitous endoribonuclease, found in archaea, bacteria and eukarya as well as chloroplasts and mitochondria. Its best characterised activity is the generation of mature 5'-ends of tRNAs by cleaving the 5'-leader elements of precursor-tRNAs. Lineage: Bacteria; Pseudomonadati; Pseudomonadota; Alphaproteobacteria; Rhodobacterales; Roseobacteraceae. The record is from Rfam by way of RNAcentral.
GCGGAGGGGCGGACGGCCGCUUGGGGGUAACCCCGAGAGGAAAGUCCGGACUCACCAAGGCGCCGGUGCCGGGUAACGCCCGGGCAGGGCAACCUGACGGACAGCGCCACAGAAAACAAACCGCCGUGCCGCCCGGACCUGUCCGGGGGAUCGGUGCGGUAAGGGUGAAACGGUGGGGUAAGAGCCCACCGGGGGGAUGGCAACAUCGCCCGCAUGGCAAGCCCCACCGGGAGCAAUGCCUAAUAGGGAUCUCGCGCCCGUCUGAUGCCGCUUGCGGCAUAUCGGGGCAGGGCGGCUUUGGCCCGAGAGAUCCGGGUUGGCAGCUAGAGCCACGUGGCAACAUGUGGCCCAGAGGAAUGGUCGUCUGAGGGCGGGGCAACCCGUCGUAUAACAGAAUCCGGCUUACAGGCCCUCCGCGCAC